This 626-nucleotide ribosomal RNA is filed under the name Escherichia coli. RNAcentral's name for it is "partial 23S ribosomal RNA". It matches the Rfam family "Bacterial large subunit ribosomal RNA", at positions 419 to 1045 of the family's 2925-position model. Lineage: Bacteria; Pseudomonadati; Pseudomonadota; Gammaproteobacteria; Enterobacterales; Enterobacteriaceae. The record is from RNAcentral.
GGGACACGUGGUAUCCUGUCUGAAUAUGGGGGGACCAUCCUCCAAGGCUAAAUACUCCUGACUGACCGAUAGUGAACCAGUACCGUGAGGGAAAGGCGAAAAGAACCCCGGCGAGGGGAGUGAAAAAGAACCUGAAACCGUGUACGUACAAGCAGUGGGAGCACGCUUAGGCGUGUGACUGCGUACCUUUUGUAUAAUGGGUCAGCGACUUAUAUUCUGUAGCAAGGUUAACCGAAUAGGGGAGCCGAAGGGAAACCGAGUCUUAACUGGGCGUUAAGUUGCAGGGUAUAGACCCGAAACCCGGUGAUCUAGCCAUGGGCAGGUUGAAGGUUGGGUAACACUAACUGGAGGACCGAACCGACUAAUGUUGAAAAAUUAGCGGAUGACUUGUGGCUGGGGGUGAAAGGCCAAUCAAACCGGGAGAUAGCUGGUUCUCCCCGAAAGCUAUUUAGGUAGCGCCUCGUGAAUUCAUCUCCGGGGGUAGAGCACUGUUUCGGCAAGGGGGUCAUCCCGACUUACCAACCCGAUGCAAACUGCGAAUACCGGAGAAUGUUAUCACGGGAGACACACGGCGGGUGCUAACGUCCGUCGUGAAGAGGGAAACAACCCAGACCGCCAGCUAAGGU